This 74-nucleotide transfer RNA is filed under the name Catenuloplanes indicus. Its description in RNAcentral is "tRNA-Leu". Lineage: Bacteria; Bacillati; Actinomycetota; Actinomycetes; Micromonosporales; Micromonosporaceae. The record is from RNAcentral.
GCCUUCGUAUCCCAAUUGGUAGAGGAACGGCGUUGAGGGCGCCGGUGUUGCGCGUUCGAAUCGCGCCGGAGGCA